UCAGAGAGAAAUGAUAACAGGAGGAUUAGCACAGAGCUGGAGAGAAACAGCACAAAUCCGGAAAUUCUGCAUUUGAGCUGGGCUGAUAAACUGUCAUCUUACAGAGCCCACAAGUGCCGACUUCCUUGAGGCAAAGAUAAUCUGAGCCUGUGAGCCUGGUAUUAAUUUAGCAACCAGAGAGAGGAAAAAUUGAAAAGGAUCUGCAGUUGAGGGGAGCUUAAAGCCUUGCCACAGUAGAACCGUACCUGGUCCUGCGUAAAUAGAAAAAGAGAAUUAAAAGGGGCUCUCGUGGGAGGGCUGACAUGACCCAGCCUGGACCAGGCUCACAAACUCCGCGUGGUGUCUGAGGGAUAAAUAGCCCUUCCCUUUUUCACUGUUAGUUUCAGUUAAACAUAAACUCUUCACUUUGGACUUUGUUUGCUUUUGCCAUUUUCAGUAAAUGUCACCCUCUCACCUCUCUGGUCUCCUUUCUGUAACAAAUCCACUCUCCCACCUCCACCACCACAUCCAAACACACCCACAAAAGCACAAAGAGAAAAAACACAGCCUGUUUUAUGGACUGUUGACUGAGGGCGGCAUAUCUGAUUGCAAACAAGAAGAUUGUGGAAAAGAGACACUAGUUGCAGUUGUCACCAUCACCUGCCCUGUGGUCUCAUCCCAGCCAAGCCCCAUGGUGAGCAUCCCACAUUUUCCCUUGUUCCGCAAGAAGUGACCUUUUCCUAAUUAACUUGGUCACAACCUUCUCCUGACUUAUUUUAAUUUGCCUACUUUAAAACACUUGUGUGCUGUGUUUGGCUCUCCCAGCUAUGCUGAUAUUCUGCUGCCUGCUCAUUUACUUACAGAGAUGAAGCACUAGGGAGAGGGAGAUGUGCAUGAUCGUCUGCCCGUGAAUCCUGCAUCCCACCCCAGGGACAGUGACGUGCUUCUGUAUGACAGAAAGAACAAAUGUAAAUACAAUCUGAGUAACUGCCUUUUCUGAACAGGAAGAGUUUGCAGCCAAAAUAGACACUAAGGGCUUUAAGAAGGGGAGAGCACAAUUACAUAAAACCUAAACCACCUUCAGAGUGUAACUUCUCAAGAGGUCUGGCCAUUUUUGGUUCUUUGGUAUUUUUAAGGAUGCUACCAUGUCCAGUCAUAAAGCGUUUUACACAUUGCAAAACCCCUGGACAUUGACUGCAUAACGUGAGGAAGAGCAUACCCAGGCCCUAGUGCGAGCAUGACAGAUAACUGACCUUUUAUAGAACCACUUAGUGGAUACAGCAGACCAGGAGCUGGUGCUCAGUCUGGCUAGAAAAGGAAUGCAGAUGUGAGUAGGAGAGAAAAGACUGUUGGAACCAGACAGCUAAUGUACCUCCACCAACUGGUACAAGAUGAGAGAUAGAUAGAUAGAUAGAUAGAUAGAUAGAUAGAUACAUACAUACAUACAUACAUACAUACAUACAUGCAUAAAUACAUACAUAUACACACAGAUAGAGACAUAGAUACAUCAACAGACAGGGUUUGAAACUUAUGUGUAGUGAUCCAAGCCCUGACGGUGAGCAGUAAUAAUCACAUCUCCAAUUUUCCACACUUAUUUUAGGCUAAUGCUGCUGUUGGGGAUAUCCCCUUCCCACAAUUCUAUUUCUCUCAAGAUUGUUGUUGAUGUCCACUUUAUCUGCAUUUCACCUACACAAAAAUAGGAGCAGUGAGGAGGAGAGUCUUUAACUGUAUUUCCUCAAAGCAUAUUUCCUCUACUCUGUUUUUUUUAAGCUCCAUUGAACAAACACAUCCUUCUUCCAACCUAGAUGUGACUAAAACAUGAGCUUUCAGAUGAACAGGAUAGAAGACAAAAUUCUGCCAGAAGACUAUACCAAGAACUGUGAAGAGUCUGAGAUUUUACUCUACUUUUAAGUGAUCAAGUUCGUUUGGUAGUUUCAGAGAUGCUGGCGGAAGCAGAGAGAAAGGAUGUUAUUGCUCCUGGCCCAGCAAGCAGCAGGAGGAUCGGGUAUUUGCUUCAAUUCCCCUUGUUCUCGAGUCCUGGGGAGCGGAACAUUGUGCAUGGACACAUUUGAUGCCUGCCUGCUUGGUGGAUUGAAUUACAGAAGGGCAACCCUGAGCUUCAGGAGCCCCAAUGUUUUAUUAUAGGAAGUCUUCAGAGGGAGACCUUAUCUUUAUUAUACACGACUGAAAGCGCACCUGCCCUUUGCUUCCAAGGAUAUCUACUCUACAGACAUCCUAGAAAGGACAGUCUAGAAAAAAAGAUAUUUAGUGCCUCUACUUGAAAGAAAUGCAUGAAACUCUAUGGGGACUCAUCCCCACUCAGAUGACGGGGCUCUGUUUCUAUGUUCCUCAUGCCCCCUGCCCCCAUCUUCACUGCCACCACAUUAAGUCCCAUUGUGUCCUGAGUCCUGGGCCCACCCUCUCACCCCACUGAUCACUCUGCACUGUUCCUGCUUGCUCAGUUAUGUGCUUCUCCAGUUUGGCAAUAAACUUCUUGUAGGAUGAGAUUAUGAUUCAUCCUGUUAUCACUGGUCCAGCACGACACUUGACCUUCAAGGAACUCAAUAAAUACUGAAAAAAUGAAUGGCGACAUUUAGAUGGUUCCUAAGGUCAGAGGCUGUGUCGUAUACAUCUUUGUCUCACAAACUAUGUCUCCUAAAAGUGUUUCUCCCUAUAUAACAUAUGUAAUUAUUGUAAUAAAAUUAAGUAAUUAGCAAUAAAUUUCCCAAGCAGCCUAAUGGAGCCCAUUCUUCUGAACCAGGCGACUCAAAUUGAAAAACAAAUUAGCUCUCUUAAAUCAUAGUUGCUCUUCACAGCAAGAUCAUUUUGAAAAGUAAAAUAGCUUCAUUUUUAAUCACUCAUCUUCCCCACAUAUUUUUAUAGUUUCUGUCAUAGAUUAUUUUUCAUGAUAUCUCAGGUUUUUUCUUUUAUCACAAAUAUUUUUUAAUAUAAAACUCAUAGGACCAGUCUUCACUUCAGCAACAAAAUAUGUUCACAUAAAUCUUUCUUGAAACACCCUCUUAUUUUCCCACUUUGUAUGGAGAAAACACUGUAUGGACUGAUUUACUUGCCUUUUAACUCUCCUAUAAGAAAAACAAUGGUGUGGGACAGCCCCUUAGCCUCAGUGAUGGGGAUUUCACAGGGCAGGGUAAGGACACAGGAAGCUCAUGCCUUUCCUCAAGGAUGGUUGUUCCUCAGUCCAGGCCAGUCCUGUUGGGUCUCCUGACAUUGUAAGAAAUGUUUGAAAUCUGGAUUUUUAAGUGAAAGCUUCUCAUUUUAUGUAUUGCCCAUUGACUU
This 3276-nucleotide long non-coding RNA is filed under the name Sus scrofa (pig). Its description in RNAcentral is "lncRNA (ENSSSCG00000061300.1)". Lineage: Eukaryota; Metazoa; Chordata; Mammalia; Artiodactyla; Suidae. The record is from RNAcentral.